GGGGUAGUGGUGGAAUGGUAUACGAGGGCAUGAUCAACCCAGCCACAAGUCUCCCUGCCGAUAGGCAUAGGCCACUGACGGAGUCCCUGGAUUAUACUCCGGGCUAUGUAGGUUCGAAUCCUACCUACCCCA
This 132-nucleotide transfer RNA is filed under the name Fodinibius sp. RNAcentral's name for it is "tRNA-OTHER". It matches the Rfam family "tRNA". Rfam says of the family: Transfer RNA (tRNA) molecules are approximately 80 nucleotides in length. Their secondary structure includes four short double-helical elements and three loops (D, anti-codon, and T loops). RNAcentral also lists the same sequence under 3 other names. Lineage: Bacteria; Pseudomonadati; Balneolota; Balneolia; Balneolales; Balneolaceae. The record is from RNAcentral.